RNAcentral lists this ribosomal RNA (227 nucleotides) under Bacillus anthracis (anthrax bacterium). Its description in RNAcentral is "partial 16S ribosomal RNA". It matches the Rfam family "Bacterial small subunit ribosomal RNA", at positions 133 to 353 of the family's 1533-position model. Lineage: Bacteria; Bacillati; Bacillota; Bacilli; Caryophanales; Bacillaceae. The record is from RNAcentral.
UAAGACUGGGAUAACUCCGGGAAACCGGGGCUAAUACCGGAUAACAUUUUGAACCGCAUGGUUCGAAAUUGAAAGGCGGCUUCGGCUGUCACUUAUGGAUGGACCCGCGUCGCAUUAGCUAGUUGGUGAGGUAACGGCUCACCAAGGCAACGAUGCGUAGCCGACCUGAGAGGGUGAUCGGCCACACUGGGACUGAGACACGGCCCAGACUCCUACGGGAGGCAGCA